AAUUUACUCCCUCCGUUCCUAAAUACUUGUCUUUCUAGGCAUUUCAACAAGUGACUACAUACGGAGCAAAAUGAGUGAAUCUACACUCUAAAAUAUGUCUACAUACAUCCGUAUGUAGUAGUCAUUUGAAAUUUUAGAAAGACAAAUAUUUAGGAACGGAGGGAGUAGUUG
This is a non-coding RNA of Triticum urartu, 171 nucleotides long. The record is from Rfam. NCBI's taxonomy places the organism in Eukaryota, Viridiplantae, Streptophyta, Magnoliopsida, Poales, Poaceae.